Molecule: ribosomal RNA, 385 nt
Filed under: uncultured bacterium
Lineage: Bacteria
Description: bacterial SSU rRNA
Rfam family: Bacterial small subunit ribosomal RNA
Source: RNAcentral
GACGAACGCUGGCGGCGUGCUUAACACAUGCAAGUCGAACGGUAAGGCCCUUCGGGGUACGACGAGUGGCGAACGGGUGAGUAACACGUGGGUGAUCUGCCCUGCACUUCGGGAUAAGCCUGGGAAACUGGGUCUAAUACCGGAUAGGACCAUGGACUUCACGGUUUGUGGUGGAAAGCUUUUGCGGUGUGGGAUGGGCCCGCGGCCUAUCAGCUUGUUGGUGGGGUAAUGGCCUACCAAGGCGACGACGGGUAGCCGGCCUGAGAGGGUGUCCGGCCACACUGGGACUGAGAUACGGCCCAGACUCCUACGGGAGGCAGCAGUGGGGAAUAUUGCACAGUGGGCGCAAGCCUGAUGCAGCGACGCCGCGUGAGGGAUGACGGCC